Molecule: long non-coding RNA, 4567 nt
Organism: Lathyrus oleraceus (garden pea)
Lineage: Eukaryota; Viridiplantae; Streptophyta; Magnoliopsida; Fabales; Fabaceae
Exons: 2
Source: RefSeq, a predicted model, not a curated record
UCAUGUUGAAUUUGAGGUAUGUCACAUAUAAUUCUCAAAAGUGAGAGAAGUAGACUGCUCUGAUAUUGAUUAGUCCAGCCCAAAAGAAAACCCAAACUAGUAGCGGUUGGGCCAAGUCUAGCCCAUUCAAUGUCAAGCAGCACAAAACGAUGACGUUUCCUGUAACAAAGAACUUGAUCAAAGUUCAUCUCUUCCCCGAUAAAGCUUCACGAUGCCGAAAGCUCAGAACUGUGAAGUAAGGAUAUGCUAUCCUUUUCUGAAGGUUCUCCGUAAAAUUUCUGUUUUUCGUUUCAAUUUGAUACCCAUCUUUGCUCCUAGGUUUUUUCCCGUAAUUUUUUUCUAAUAGAAAAAUCGAUUCACGUGCAUUUUCUUAUGCUGCAAAUUUGAAAACAUGACCUAGAAAAUGGAAAUAAUCACUGGCGAAAUAGUUUUUUUAUUUAUUUCUAUAUUUACUCGUCGUUGUUGAUGAUAGUAACACUGUAAACAAUGAUUGUUUGAUUGAAUAAUUUGAUGAUUUCGAUUGUAGAGUAACACAUGAUUUAGUGUUGAAGUGUUGUCAAAUUGCAGCUAUUGUGGCGAUGUGACAUAGCAGAAUUUAAUAUAGAUUUCAACUUGUAAAGAACAAGCCUUGUUUGUAUUAUUUGGCAAAUCGGACAUAUGAACUAAAUGACUAAGAAGUAGCCAUUUUUGUUAAAAUAGCAAGGGUAUUGACAUAAUAUCCGGAACUGCAACAACAAAAAUGGCUACAUCUUAGUCUGACAAGGAAAAUGCAGAGCUCUUACUCGUUGGAAUGGAGGAGAGGAUGUCAUUAUGCCGUGCUUUCAGCCAGAGAAAAUUAGGUAAGCUAUGCAAUGUAUGAUUAAAGAAGUAUUUGGAAGAAAGAAAAUGAGUAAAUAGAUUGUUUCAGCUUGUAUUAGUGAAAAAUAUAACUGCUAUAGAAAUUUGAGUGGACGGAUUUCCUUACUGUUUUCCACAUUGAACAUUUAUCAUGAAUCUUAGGCCCUGUUUACUUUCUGAAAAAGUUUUCAUUUUUUAUCUUCUUAAAUAUAUAUUCGUUUUAAAUGGAAAACUCAUGUAGUGAGCAAUUAUGAUAGAAAGAAGAUGGAAGGGAAGUUAGGAGGAAUGUAUUUUUAGUAAUAAUGAAAACAAUGUUUUUCCAUUUUCAUAAUUUUUUAAAAGACUAGAUCUAUUUAAAAAAUUGUGAAAUAAAAUGACAAGGAAAGUAUUGAAUCUAUAUUCUCUUAUGGUUAUUAUUUGUAAUGAAAAUGAAAGCAGGGUAUUUGAGAAGUAAAUGGACCGGAAGUGUUUCUCAAUUAUGAAAGGGACAUUAAAUUUGAUUUUGUGGUUCUCGACGGUUCUAACAUUGUACAAAACAUUCAAUGGAUGUUGAAGAAACACUUCCUUGAAUCUGCAUCUGAUAUGCUAUUAUAGCCAGUGACUUUAAUAUCCAUGAUAGGAAUGAAUUCAUGUUGGCUGGCAUGUUAAUUUUUCAUUUUGAUUUUCAAAAACAAUGAAGUUUGACGAAAAUGAAUUUUUCAUUAUAUUUUUUUGAUAAAAAAUGCCUUGCUUUUGGUAAAUGGGCAAGUUACUUAUCCUGUUUCAUGCAGGUGACCAGGUAAUCUAGCAUACUCUUUAUCGUAUCAAUAGGAACUAGCUUAUUUUGUUUUGUGAACGAUACUGUUAUUAUUUUUUCUGUUUUUCAGUGCAAACUAUAAUUGAUGCUCAGCAAAACAUGCACUCCAAAAUCUCAAGAAAAAACUAUAAAAACAAAUUCCUAUUAAAUACUGUUUUACACAAUGAGACACAGGUGUUACGAAUCUAUAAUGCUCAACAACUGUAUUUUUGUUGGUUGUGAUAAGAUAUGUCUGUAGGGUCCAAAGACUGAAUAUACGAUAGUUCGUUAGAUUUGAAUUCCUCCAAAAGAUGGCAUUACAAAAGAAUUUCACUAGUGCAAAUACAUCUUUUCUUUCCCUGAAUGAAAUUAGAAGAAAACAUUUUCUGUUGGAGGAACUGGGAUCAUCAUCUAUAAUAUCUUUUUAGAUGAUGUUGAUUCAUUGAAUUGCUUUCCAAAACUUAUGUUGCAGCUUGACUGUACAAAAUACAUGGCUCUCUAUCACAAAACUCUUAAAACUUAAGAUUGAAACAAGAGAAAAAAACCAACCAACUGUUGCGAAGAACUAUUGAGAAUGCAGAUACAGCUCACUAUGUUUCUAUCCUGCUCUGCAUUUCCAAGCAUGGCACACUCUUCUGAAUGUUACCGGCUCAGCUUAGUUUUGCUUUCUCUCCUGGUCAAGGGAACAAGAUAUGUUAAGCCCUGUUGUGAAUAGGAUCUGACCCUUUUCGCACUCUUCUUUUGCUUGAUUGAUUUGGAUCAAGCCUGUUGUUGACAUUUGCUGAACUCUUCUUUGUAGGAACAGACACAUUGUUGACAUUUGCUGAACUCUUCUUUGUGUUCAACAAUUCCUUCUCUGGAGCUUUCAGAGUAUGUUGAUUCUGCAGCAUUAUCCUGUGCUCUUUUUGAUUCUGUUUUAAUGCAAUUUCUAAACUUCUCAGGCCUGAGACUUCGUUUGGUUGAAUAGAUAUUAAGAACCCGACAAAGAGAAGAAGAAUCAUUCUAGAAGGAUGGAACACCAUAUUUGCUUAACUCUAAAACAAGAAAUAGAAGGUAUGUUCUUUCUGUUUAGAGUGACACAAGACAAGAGAGUAAGCACCUAUCUGCUAGUACUAUCUGUUUUCUUAUGGUCCAUUCCUGUAGAUAUAAGCUUGUUAUAUAUGUCCCACUAGAUUUGGAGAGAGGCUUUAAAGCUUAAAGCAGAUGGGACCUACAUACAAGAAUUUUAGAUUCAUCUCGAAUCAGAAGCCUGAGAUUUUAACUAAUUAAGGCUGUUAUUUAAGAAUCUGACAAGAAUGAAUAAAGGGGUUGGGAUAAUAUCCUUGAGAGGCCAAGUAUCUUUUCUUUCAUUUCUUUCCCUACACAUCUAUCAUAUCAUAUGUAUGCUUUUUUCAAUAAAAGAAGCCAAACCUAGUCUCUUGGACCCUAGGCUAACUUGCCACAUCACACUUCUAUACUUGUGUACAUGGAUAAAUAUAUUUUACAUUCUUGAUUACAAGGGGAAAUAUAACAUGUUUCUUUAAUAUCAAGUAUAGGUUGAUUUUUUUAUUAAAAAAACGGUUAUAUUGCAUAAAAAAAAGAAUGUAAUAUCUAGGAUGAAAAAUUCUGAAAUUUCAUUUUGGUGACUCUAUAUCAUAUGGUAUAGUCAAAUACUUUUACAUUAUUUUUUUCCGGUAGAAACUGGGUAUCCUCUGCGUGCAACUGCAAAAAUUAAUCCCUAGAGUAGGGCUCUCAAGAAAAUUUAACACUGCUGCGUGCCCAAAGCUGACUAGGUUCGAACCCAGAACCUCUGGUUAAACUGGAAGAGAUCUCUUACCAUCUCAUCCAAGUAGUCGAGGGUUUAACUUUUACAGCCAAAAUAUUUUUCAUUUUGAAAUUUCUGAAUUGAUUCCAUAAUAAAAUUCAGGUCUUGAAUGGGGUUAAUAUGGUAAAGUACCAUUUCUUUGUGAUUAAGAAAGGGCUUAUUAAGCAUUAGUUGCUUUUAAUUGGAAUGAGGAAGCAGACAAAAAAAUGGGCCACCCAGAAGAUUGAGAUUAAAACAGUGCAAGAAGCUCAUAUAAAGAAUAUAAAUGUGGGAAUAGAACAGUCCCCAAAAGAAACAAACUAUUGCUUUAUGCACUUUACUAACUUCUAAGAUCUCCCCUUGUUGGCUUUAGAAUUCCAAGCUCUCUUCCCAAGUUAACAAAAAUGAAACAGUACUACUUGUUUUAUUGGGCUUAAUGUGUAUCUUUAUGCUUUGUUCUACUUUUAGAUGGGUUGCCAAGCCAUAUUUGUCCCUUCCAAAAUUUCAUGCCCUCUCUCUUCCUUAUUUUACUUUCUUUUUUAACUCAAAAUAUCACAUGCAGCUUGGAACUGUCCAAAGCAUAAAUUCCUCACUUUAUCACAACUAGGUGACAUCGGUUCUUAAGAUGAAGGGUGACUAGUCAUAGUUCUAGUGAAACAAACAGCCACUGCUUAAACAAUUUAUGUUCUCUCUCUCUCUCUUUUCUUUUUUUGAUUUUUGGUUUUUGUUUGUUACUUUUUUAUCAUCCAAUUAAAGUGAGAGUUGGUGUGACUUGUUGCUUUCUAUUUUUUUUUUCAUUUUUCAUCCUAACGUUUGAAACUUCCUUUUGAGUGUCACCUUGUUGCAAACCACAUCCCCUUAAAGAAUAUGCUUUUAUUCUCCAUCUGAAUAGUUGUUUACUUGCACUUGUAUCAUAACAUGUUGUGACAUGCCAAGGCAGGUUAACCAAAUUUUUGAAGUAUGGUUCUAGAUAGAACGUUAUGAUAAAAGUUGAUUCAUGUAGCUGAUCACAUUUAAUGGGAUAAGACUUGGUUGUUAUUGUUGUUGUUAUAAUUUGUAAGUAGCUCUGUAAGCGUUCUGUAUGCCUUAAGAUCUGCUCUGACCAUAAUGUUCUUUCAGAACCCAACUCACAUAAACUUUCUAUAACCAAAAAAUAACAUGUGACAUUCUAA